Molecule: ribosomal RNA, 332 nt
Filed under: uncultured Syntrophomonas sp.
Lineage: Bacteria; Bacillati; Bacillota; Clostridia; Eubacteriales; Syntrophomonadaceae
Description: bacterial SSU rRNA
Rfam family: Bacterial small subunit ribosomal RNA
Source: RNAcentral
UUGUCGUCAGCUCGUGUCGUGAGAUGUUGGUUAAGUCCCGCAACGAGCGCAACCCUUGCUAUUAGUUGCUAACAGGUAGAGCUGAGCACUCUAAUGGGACUGCCGGUGACAAGCCGGAGGAAGGUGGGGAUGACGUCAAAUCAUCAUGCCCUUUAUGACCUGGGCUACACACGUGCUACAAUGGAUGGUACAGAGAGCAGCGAGGCAGCGAUGUGGAGCGAAUCUCAAAAGCCAUUCUCAGUUCGGAUUGGAGUCUGCAACUCGACUCCAUGAAGUCGGAAUCGCUAGUAAUCGCGAAUCAGCAUGUCGCGGUGAAUGCGUUCCCGGGCCUU